GGAGAGGUACCGAAGAGGUCGUAACGGGGGCGCCUCGAAAGCGUCUUGUCCAGUAAUGGGCACGUGGGUUCGAAUCCCACCCUCUCCGCCA
RNAcentral lists this transfer RNA (91 nucleotides) under Acidobacteriaceae bacterium. Its description in RNAcentral is "tRNA-Ser". It matches the Rfam family "tRNA". From Rfam's summary of the family: Transfer RNA (tRNA) molecules are approximately 80 nucleotides in length. Their secondary structure includes four short double-helical elements and three loops (D, anti-codon, and T loops). Further hydrogen bonds mediate the characteristic L-shaped molecular structure. tRNAs have two regions of fundamental functional importance: the anti-codon, which is responsible for specific mRNA codon recognition, and the 3' end, to which the tRNAs corresponding amino acid is attached (by aminoacyl-tRNA synthetases). tRNAs cope with the degeneracy of the genetic code in two manners: having more than one tRNA (with a specific anti-codon) for a particular amino acid; and 'wobble' base-pairing, i.e. permitting non-standard base-pairing at the 3rd anti-codon position. Lineage: Bacteria; Pseudomonadati; Acidobacteriota; Terriglobia; Terriglobales; Acidobacteriaceae. The record is from RNAcentral.